Molecule: long non-coding RNA, 928 nt
Filed under: Sus scrofa (pig)
Lineage: Eukaryota; Metazoa; Chordata; Mammalia; Artiodactyla; Suidae
Description: lncRNA (ENSSSCG00070010550.1)
Source: RNAcentral
CUGAGCUUUAGAGCUGAGCACACUGUCCGGGUGCAGAGGAGAGAGAGGGGAGCGCGGUGGGAGGGAGGGAGGCAGGGCACGUUCCAUCGCAUCGCUGUGUGACCGCUGCUGCCCAUCGCCUUGCAUCGCAGCAACCUCGGUCAACAACUUACUGAGGUUCCUUUUCUUUUGCAAGAGGAUGUCAGCUCAGAGCCUCAGCAAGAAAUAACAGGCUUCACCUUGGAAUAGUUCAUUCACUCCUGCUUCAUUAAAGAGGAUUUUGAAAAGAAAACCGAAACCAAGUCCCCUUUCCAGCCCCACUUUGUUCCAGAAUUGAACAGAAACAGUUUUCUGCUCCAGAUUUUUUUCUGUACACAAACUGGAAUUCAUGCCAGGGAAAAGGUCAACUGGUAAAGUUCCUAGAAUUGGUUGAUCUGAACCCCAUGGUGAGUAAACAUUUAAAUGAAAAGUCCCCUUUUCCUCGAGGUACAUUUCUCUCAUGACAAUUAAAAUGUGGAAUUAUUAGUUUUAUUACAAAAAUAACAUCACUCACUAAAGGCCCUUUUAUUUCUGCCGUGAACAUUUCAGUUUUGUCUCCGUAAGCUACUUUUCAAUAUAAUUUAGAUGUUAUACAAGUAAAUGUAGAGGCAGGAUCAAGAUGGUGGCGGAAAUAAUACAUAGCACUCACCUUCUCCCACAAACACAUCAAAAAAAAAAAAAUGUAAAUGUGGAAUGAUUCACACAGAACAUCUACUGAACACUGACAGAAGCCCUUAAACCUCCAAAAAGGGAGGUUUGGGGGCUUAACCCCCACCCCCCACAUAACUGAGUAGAACAAAGGGGGAAAAAAAAAAGAGAAGAGAAAAAAAAACAAAGAUUCAGGAUGGGACCAGCAGUCCUGAGAGGGAGCUGUGAAUGAAGGAACCUGCACCCUGGGAAGCUACCUAAC